RNAcentral lists this unclassified non-coding RNA (3236 nucleotides) under Hevea brasiliensis (rubber tree). The record is from RNAcentral. Lineage: Eukaryota; Viridiplantae; Streptophyta; Magnoliopsida; Malpighiales; Euphorbiaceae.
GUCGAAAUAUCUUCUAUAUUUUUCUAAAUAUUCCUUCAUAGAUUAAAUCAUCAUGUGAUCUUCAGGAGAUAGAUAUCUGAAAUUAAAAAUACAGUACCACACUAAUCCAAUUUCCAUCAAGAAGCUCCACAUUUUUUUACCACAAAACAGUUGAGCAAAUACUUGAUACAACAUGAGAUAAAUUUAAGACCAUGGGACGGCUCCAAAAAAGAAACAUCUACUUGAUGGUGAUAUAGCGAUUUGUCCCAUGUCUAGCCCAGUAGUCCUUGAGGUCUAGAGGGACUGAUAGAUCAUGGCCUUCUGCUGCCAACCGACUAAGCAAUUUUGUGAAGACACUACCACUCAUCUUCCGUCCACCAACUCGGGCAUGGCGCUUAUUUGGCAUCUGUGGUAAUGGGUAUGAUGACAAGGUGGUAGUGCAACAUGAUGACUGCCACCCACCAUUCCCCCAUUUAUAGCACUGAUGUGGAACACCGGUGCAUGAGCAAACAGGCACUGGCAUGGUGGUCUCAUCAAAACUGACCAGGUUCAAGCCUGCAUCUUGACUAUCCCAUUCAGCCUUAAUCUUCUUCCCAUCAGAGGCGCCUUGUCUAUUCAGAUCUUCACCUACUUUAUUGCCCUUCCUUGGUGACUUAGUUGCCUUUGAUGAUGCAGGUUUACUCUCUUUUGUUCGCUUUGUCUGACGUGGUUUAAGAGAUUCCGCUGAAACAGUUGUUAUAGGGAAGGCAUCAGUGAUGUGCAUUUCUCCACUGUUAAGAGCUUCUGCCACAGCAUUUGAAUUGUACACAGGGUGAGGAAUGCGCUUUGAUCCUCGUUGAUUUCCGUUGCCCACUGGAAAGUUCACACCAUUUUCUCGGUAUUGAAUUGCUGCCAAAGCAUUGUCUCUUUCCAUCAAGGCUUUGUCCCGCUCAGCAAGGGCUUUUUCCCGCUCGUGGAGUGCCUCAUCUCGUGCAGCCAAUGCUUCCUUUUUUUCAGCCAGUGCCAUAUUCCGUUCUUGAAUAGCAGUAUCCCUCUCAGCAAGGAUGGCCAUGAUCUUCUUAUUCAUCACUAGGGCAUUAUUUUGUUCCUUUAAAUGAGGUGGUGGCAUCAAACUCCAUGGAGAAUUUGCUGAUUUGUAAUAGUCAAUCUUGUACCUCCCACUAUGAUGUUGUCCACCAUCAUCCAUCUUAUGUCAACGUUACUGUCAAUGAAGUAGGAAUCAGGUUCAAUCUGCUCCCUAACGAUGAAUAGCAGAAUUUUAGGCAGCCACUAGUUUCUGGAAAGAGAAAACAUCUGUUUUUGAAAAAGAAAAACAAAACUCAGGUUUCCAUAACAAGAAAAGGAAGUUUAGAAAUUUCAUCAUUCAGGAGGGAAAAACAUGAAGUGUCAAAAGAAAUGUAACCAUGCUUUUCCAGCAAGAAGAAAACAAACAUAAUAGUCUAUUCCUAUUGUGAAAGCAUGUAUUUUAGGAGAACUAAAACCCAAUAACCAAAGAGAUAAUCCAGGUUAAGCAUUCACUCUGAGCUACAAAAAAGGAAGCACAAACAGCAAGUAAACACACCUGUAUGAGAUACAAGAAAAGAAGUAAAGUCUUAUUGCUUUUCUCUGUCAAAAAUACAAAUUGCGAGAAUGAUAAUUUUUUUAGGCAUCCUCAAUGGUUAAAAACAAUCACCAAGCUUAUUGAUUGGGACAAAUCAUAGAGAACAAUUAAACUAUCAAUCAAUUCCAAGAACAGAAUAAUAUCAAAAGAAAACUGUAAUUACACAGGCACAACAAGAAAAUCAAGAUUCAUGAUUCAAUCAAGGCCAUGAGAACCAGAGAUUCACAAACUAUUGUUCAGUACAUUUAAACCAACCAAUGCAAGCAUCAGGAACACUGCCCACAUAGCAAGGUAUGAGAAGCUGAGAACAAUCCAUUUGUUAACAGCAACUACAAUUCUUUAAAGUUGAAUUGGGUUUGGAAUGGUAAAGCAGCUCAAAUGAAUAUUAGCUAAGCAGUGGUAGAAAGAGGCAGUUAGAACCAAAGGAAAUUAAAAAAAAAUAAGAAAUAAAAAAGCUCUUAACAGCCAUGUGAAGAGUAAUGCAAGGUAGAGAUAGUAAUGGGUAGGGCACCCGCAAAUUUUAGGAUACCCAAACCCAUUUGGAAAUUACCUUCUUACUACUCUACCAAUCCCAAAACCCUUUACCAUUACCCGCAUACCAUCCAAACCCGCCCAAACCCUUUUUUUUCCCACAUUUUUUGUUUGACAUUUUAAUUACAUAAGAGAUUCAUGGGUCUACCCAAACCCGAAAUAUUCAAAAGCUAUGGCAAAUUCAACCUAUCUAUUGACAUCAUAAGCACAUAUCAAGUAAACAUAAAUGAAGAAGAGACCACCUAGGUAUGAUUUCUACAAAAUUGGACCCUGUAUACAGGUUUGAUUUAUUCACCUUCAUUAGACUUUAUCUUAUCAUCUUAGUAUUUACAUUUUAAUUUAUCUAGUUUCAAACAGAGAUCAAGUAAUACACAUGAAGCAGAUUGAGCCAAAUUGAAGGGCCAAACCAAAUACCAUAUAUUGCAUCUUAAAAUUGUAACAAACAGAACUGAGGAAAACUAUAAAAAGCAAAAACCGAAUAGCUGACAAAACAGCAAGCAUAAAGACCAAGUAACUUACCAGUAACUGAGCAAACAAGACAACCAAAACAAGCCCACAAAAGAGAAACAGCAAGAAUCUCGGCAACAGUAGAACAGCAAGAUCUAAGAAAUGAUAUUUAACUAAAAAAAUAAGUGAAAAGCAACAGUAGAACAGCAAGAAUAUAGAGAAAAUUAGAAAGGAAAAAAAUACAAUAUAUUAAUUUAAAUAAAACCAAAAUCUACCCAGCAGAUUACUUUUGUAUUUUCUUUGAGCUCUCUGAGUUCUCUCAUUUCCGCACAGUGAGAAAUAGACAAAUGCUGAGAACGAGCAAUCUAAAACUUUUGAUUGAAAAGGGGACAACCGAAAAUAUCCCCUAAACGGCGCCGACUACAGUGAAAGGAGUUCCAGAUCUGAGAGAGAGGCCGAAGACAGUUGGGCCGUGAGCGAGAGAAUUGGGAGUUCGGGGCUUGGUAGGAAGAGAGAGGGAGCUGGGGGUGGGGCGGCGGUGUCCCGCGCUUGAGAGAGCGAAUGAGUGGCGGAAUGAUGCUUAGGGGAACUUUAGGUUUAGAUCAAGUAAGGAUAGUGACGGAUUGGGUACAACGAAAUUCAUUCCACCUGUAUUCGAAUUCGCGGAGGGAUUAUUAGG